UUAUAGACCGACAGAAAUAGGUGAUACCAAAAAUUUAAACUCUUGCCUGAAUUCUCUAAAUAGCUGAAAUUCAUAGUGAUAUUCCCAUAUAGAGGUAUAUGCAUCUAAUUAUUCCUAUUAAAAAGCCCUCUUUCCUAUUAUCGAACUUUUUCUUUUUCUCUCCAACUGUAUAUUUCAAGCAAGAUUGUAAAAGGCUACCUUAAGGCACGCUUUCUGCCUAGGCAUAGGCUAAAUGCAGCGAUGGCUCUGGUAAAAGCAAGCAGGCACAAAAAUUGCACAGGAGGAGGGAAAAGCUUAAGCCUCAGUAAAUCUGCUGUAGUUCAGUUGAUGUAGAACUCAGGCUCCUUGCAAUUAUGCAAGUCUGAUGUAGUUCAGUAGAGCUUAGUUGAUAAGUCCUCAGGUUUUGGAUUUCUUCAGUGUUCAUGGGAUCUAAAUGGAAAUGUUCCCUAUAAAAUAUUUGUUGGAAGCUGCUGUUCAAGCAAUGCAUGGUUGUGAAUUCUAAUCCCAACUGAAACCCAGGCUUAAAGGUCUUUUGUGCAUGCUGGAUGAUUGUCUAAACGGCGGGAGUUUAACAACAGUAGGAAUGUGACAGACGAAGACAAAUAUGCCCGGUAC
This 615-nucleotide long non-coding RNA is filed under the name Rosa chinensis. RNAcentral describes it as "sRNA RchiOBHm_Chr6g0282301". The record is from RNAcentral. Lineage: Eukaryota; Viridiplantae; Streptophyta; Magnoliopsida; Rosales; Rosaceae.